UACGUAGGGAGCAAGCGUUGUCCGGAAUUACUGGGCGUAAAGCGUGCGCAGACGGUUGCGUAAGUCAGAUGUGAAAGCCCCGGGCUCAACCUGGGAAUUGCAUUUGAGACUGCGUAGCUAGGGUGCGGAAGAGGGAAGCGGAAUUUCCGGUGUAGCGGUGAAAUGCGUAGAUAUCGGAAGGAACACCAGUGGCGAAAGCGGCUUCCUGGUCCAGCACCGACGUUCAGGCACGAAAGCGUGGGGAGCAAACAGG
This 253-nucleotide ribosomal RNA is filed under the name uncultured bacterium. Its description in RNAcentral is "partial 16S ribosomal RNA". It matches the Rfam family "Bacterial small subunit ribosomal RNA", at positions 524 to 776 of the family's 1533-position model. The record is from RNAcentral.